CAGCACCGCAUCUCCCCUCAAAUGUCUGUAAUUCAAAGCGCCUCAGGUUCUGUCAGUUUCAAACCUUUCGGGCUGGAUUCAUUCUCAGAGAAUGACACCACUUUCUUCCAAACUGUUUUAAAUUCAGACAAAAAUCAAACAGGAGAGUCAUGCUUCGAGCUGGACAUUACGUGGAACCUGGGAGCAAAACAUCGGGUCUUUCACCUGAUGGUCACCAAUCCUCCUGGGACAGGUAACAGCUGCCUUUUGGAGACCUAGAGAGGCACAGCGGGAGAAGUGGUGCAAGCAUCCCCACCCCAAGUUGCACCACCAUUUGUUAGUCCUUGCUCAGCCCCCUGGCAGGUGAUGAGAGAUGAACUGGGAACUUGCCCACGCAGGGUGUGGCACAGGCACUAAAGGCUGAAGUACAGAAGCCACAGCCAUGGUGGGGACUUGUCCUGCCUGUGUCUAUGAUGUUCUUUAAUAUCUCAGGAUACAUAGGGGAUUUCAAUCUAUAGGAUUCUCAGACUGCCCCCCAUUUUCCAGCUUGAAAUGCUCUUUAAAAUGUAUUAGGAAAAAAAAAAAAUCCAAACACUAUUAAAUGCAAAGAAAUCAUGAAAAACAACAAGGAACAAAAGCUCUCAAUCCUAGCUGAGCACUGCACAGACAGGAACCUGCUCUGACGUACAUGAGCACCCCAUAGGGAUUAACUCUCUCCUGCCCAACAAAGCCAGCCUUCUAGCUUCUACUUUGCAGCACAUUUUGUGUGCUAUAAAUGUAUUUAAUCUAGCCAGAUAGGGAGAUUAAAAUGUACAGGCUUAGUACAUUUUACAGUACUAUCUGCAGUUGUCCCCACCCAAAAAAAACCCUCACCAUCCUGGUCCAGGAGUUUUCUGCCUAUAUGACAGAUAAAAAAAAAAAAAAUUCCCUGUGAAGCAGAAACAAGAAUCAGGCAGCAGAAGUCUAAAGGAAAAUGACAAGGAGAAGCUCUUAGAGUCAUUUUCCCCUUCACUUUCUUGUAGUCAAUAUGCAGAAAGGCAUAUAUUGCAUGUUUACUAUCAGCCAGUUAAUAUUUUCUUACCCUCACCCCUUAACUGAAGUUCCUAAAGCCCUUUGCAGCCACUGCUUCACUCAGUCUCAGGUACCCCCAGGAGACAGCUGGUGUCACUAACCUGCCUAUAAAAAGAGGGGCAGUGAGCCACAAUUGUCUGUGUAAAGUCACCUAACAGACAAUUCCUGGAACACAAAUUAGGAGGUGGGAUUCUCAGUUCUGACUUUAACCUUCAAGGUAGGUUUCCUCCUUUUCCUAAACCUGCAGUGCCAAACCACUGCAGUAUCAAACGUGCAACAGUAUCCUCCAUCUUCUUGUCGUCUCUGGUACCACAUCAGGGUGGAGAGACAUGUAGGCUGCAAGCCUCCAGAUCCUCACCUGCCUUUUGAGGAGACUGCCAUUUAGAAAGCUGAACCAGAGGAUUUAUGCUUUUGGUUAUAUGUGUUAUCCUUACUUUCUAUAGUGGAGCAUCAUUGCCGAGGAGGGAAUUACACAGAAAUCACUUGCUUUAGGUGCUGCAUCUGUCCCAUGUUUAAGCACCAUGAGAAGGUCUGAUGUUUUUCUCAAGGUACCACAUACUUUUAUUCCAAUGCUUUUUCCUCUGAAUCUGUGGGCAAUUCAAAAUCUCACCAUGAGACCACCUGUGCAGGGACACAGCCCACAGAAGGUCUCAGUUGUGGCUGCAGAAAGAACCAGCACAGAAUAAUUUUACCAUAGCCAUGACAAUUAAAGCAUAGCAUUGCCUAAAUAUGCUUGUCCUUCUCACAAUGGUCUACAAAAUUUGAGUUCUCUUAUUGUUUUGCUUUCAGGCCUGACUGGACACAACCAGCAUCUUGGGGUGCCUGUAUGGGAGAUAUGUAGAGAUUGUCUCUCUCUCUCACUGACAACCCAUUACUGUGGUACAGCACAGGACAUGAGCAAGGGGUUCCAUAGUCUCUGAGAUGGCAAUGAAGAUCCUGGGACAGAGACAAAAUCCUUGGAGACAGAUACCAGCAAGAAGCUCCAAAGAGGAGUUAGGGAAGGACUGCAGAGUAGCCUUGGCCACUGACUACGCUUUGAAAGGUGGAGAGGAUAAACGUGAAGGAAGCACACAUGACAAGCAGGAGACCUGAAACAAAGUGCCCCAAAGCUCUGUGAGGUAUGGGUUCUGGUUCUGAAGUUGAUCAGCUUCUCCCAUUAUUUUUCACUGCUUUCAUCUACCAUAUUCCUUUGGGCUCUUUUUACUUCCUACAGUGCUUCGGGUCCUCUGAAAUCUCUUUCAUUGCACCCACACUUUGUACCUCCAUACCUUCUGACACCUUUCCCUUCUUUUCCAUGCAGCUCUGUUUGCAACUCUCCUCCCUCGUUUCCUCCCACAUGUCCCUCCCAGCCUUUACCCUUCUGCUUCCCACAUCAAACUUGGAGGUUAUUUGACAUAUCUGUGGGCAAGUUAGAGCAUGGCAGUGCUUUGAGGUGUGAGUGUGCCACGCACAGAGUGACAGCACAGGGGACAAGAGCCAAGGGCCAGCCCCAGGCUGCUCCUGGUGUAUUGGGAAGGGGGUUUACAGCUCUGGAAAAUCAGAAACUCAUUCUUGGUCAAGCAGAAGCGCCACAUGAAGGAAAACAACAUCUGCACAACACAAGGUGGCUCUGGCCAGAGACAAGCUUGAUGCCCAGCAGAAUUCCCCUCUACUACACUCACACAGAGGGGAAUGGGAGGUGUUUCUAAUUUGUCCUCUUAAUUGCCUAGCUGGCCUUCAUUCUGCACCAGGCCUUUCACCAUACUUCUGAGCUUGGGUCCCAGCUCUGCUCCCUUGCUUUUUUUCCUGUUGUCUUCUAACCCCCUCGCUCUAAUUGCUUUUGCACCUCCAGAACCCUAUCCUCUCCUUCCUGUGCUGUCUUCCACACCCUUCUUCCUUCUGCAUCCAGCCAACCCAUCCUGCCCCUCUUCAGCCAGUGCACAUGCUUCCCUCUGUCCACUACCUCCCAAAUGUAAAAAAUUUAGAAACUUCAGAAUAGUUUGUGCUAAAGGGAUUUUUUGUCAGUGACUUGUUGGAGUAGAUGACCAAAUUGCUUGUUUUUCUUCAACUGCAUUCACUUUCCUUGCUCCAGGUAACCUAAUCCUGUUGUUUUUAACAGUCUUCUAUCUUCCCUCAGUAAGCCAUUACUGAUUUUUCCUGACUACUUAUGUUUCUAAAACAACAUUGGACUGUUUAUUUUAGAGAACUCACAAAUGUUGGUUUAAACCAGAGAUAGUGGGGCUUGUACAAAAGGAGCUCUUGUAAAAGAUGAGAAGCAUGUAUGCCGCUCUGUUCCCAAAAGCUGUCAGGAGAAGUCACCUGCACAGUGCAUGGGUGCUGCUUAGGUUUACCCAACAGAUCAUGGCACCCCAUGAUCCACGUGGAUCACUUAGUUAUUUUCCCAGCAAUCUGCCUGGAAACCUUCUUGCCUCAGCAUGUCUUUUUUCUCACGUGCAACUCACUUUCUUUGACUGGAUAGUUUGCCACAAACUUGUGUGGGGACCUAAGGUCAAAGGUUAAUCACUUUUGCAGUAGAGUGUCAUCACUGGUGCUGAGCACCAGCAGAAAUGAAUAUCAAGGAACAGACCAGUCUGAACACUGUCAAAACUUCUUUUGCAAAACAAUGAUGAGGAUGAUGAUGAUGACAAUAGUAAUAGUAGUAGUAGUAAUAAUAAUUAUCAGCAGUAAAACAAAGAUAAAUGAAUUCAUGAAUGUAUGAUUCAUACAAUGGCCAUGCUUCCAGUCUUUCUCUAUUUCUCCCUUGGAACUAAGAGUGGAGCCUCUGUGCACACAAAUGACAUGUGAGAUGCCCAUCUCAGGCAGGCUGCGCAUAUGCAACUUCUUGCUCAAAUGACUCCAAAUUUGCCCCAAGUGGUUUUAGCCAGGGCCUCUGGGAGGUUCAUCAGUAUUGCAAAAAUCAGAUUGUGCAUAUGAAUAUUGGGGUGUGUUGCAUACUUCCUCAUUGAGCAGAAUAUGAUGCUCAUUCCUUGCUACAGCAGAGCAAUGCACACUCUCCAGGAUGGAUCUGGGUGUAUAUAGUGCUGAAGUAUUGUAAGUAAUAAAUGGUGGACCCAAAAGUGCCUAGCUGCAGUGGCGAUUAAUCAUUUAGGCCCUGAUCCUGCAAACAUGCAUGAGUUUAAUGUUACUACUAUGAGUAAUCCCCUUGAUCUCAAAUUAGAUUAGUCACAGUCUUAACACUUGGCACGUGAAUAAAUAUUUGCAGGGCUAGAACCCUAUUUAUGGCCUGAUCUUGCAAAUUAUUGCUGUCUAGCACUGUGCCUCUGUUU
RNAcentral lists this long non-coding RNA (4316 nucleotides) under Taeniopygia guttata (zebra finch). RNAcentral's name for it is "lncRNA (ENSTGUG00000022528.1)". Lineage: Eukaryota; Metazoa; Chordata; Aves; Passeriformes; Estrildidae. The record is from RNAcentral.